This 497-nucleotide ribosomal RNA is filed under the name uncultured bacterium. RNAcentral describes it as "partial 16S ribosomal RNA". It matches the Rfam family "Bacterial small subunit ribosomal RNA", at positions 28 to 507 of the family's 1533-position model. The record is from RNAcentral.
GAUGAACGCUGGCGGCGUGCCUAAUACAUGCAAGUCGAGCGAACGGACGAGAAGCUUGCUUCUCUGAUGUUAGCGGCGGACGGGUGAGUAACACGUGGAUAACCUACCUAUAAGACUGGGAUAACUUCGGGAAACCGGAGCUAAUACCGGAUGAUAUUUUGAACCGCAUGGUUCAAAAGUGAAAGACGGUCUUGCUGUCACUUAUAGAUGGAUCCGCGCUGCAUUAGCUAGUUGGUAAGGUAACGGCUUACCAAGGCAACGAUGCAUAGCCGACCUGAGAGGGUGAUCGGCCACACUGGAACUGAGACACGGUACAGACUCCUACGGGAGGCAGCAGUAGGGAAUCUUCCGCAAUGGGCGAAAGCCUGACGGAGCAACGCCGCGUGAGUGAUGAAGGUCUUCGGAUCGUAAAACUCUGUUAUUAGGGAAGAACAUAUGUGUAAGUAACUGUGCACAUCUUGACGGUACCUAAUCAGAAAGCCACGGCUAACUACGUG